UGGUGGGUAGUUUGACUGGGGCGGUCUCCUCCUAAAGAGUAACGGAGGAGCACGAAGGUUGGCUAAUCCUGGUCGGACAUCAGGAGGUUAGUGCAAUGGCAUAAGCCAGCUUGACUGCGAGCGUGACGGCGCGAGCAGGUGCGAAAGCAGGUCAUAGUGAUCCGGUGGUUCUGAAUGGAAGGGCCAUCGCUCAACGGAUAAAAGGUACUCCGGGGAUAACAGGCUGAUACCGCCCAAGAGUUCAUAUCGACGGCGGUGUUUGGCACCUCGAUGUCGGCUCAUCACAUCCUGGGGCUGAAGUAGGUCCCAAGGGUAUGGCUGUUCGCCAUUUAAAGUGGUACGCGAGCUGGGUUUAGAACGUCGUGAGACAGUUCGGUCCCUAUCUGCCGUGGGCGCUGGAGAACUGAGGGGGGCUGCUCCUAGUACGAGAGGACCGGAGUGGACGCAUCACUGGUGUUCGGGUUGUCAUGCCAAUGGCACUGCCCGGUAGCUAAAUGCGGAAGAGAUAAGUGCUGAAAGCAUCUAAGCACGAAACUUGCCCCGAGAUGAGUUCUCCCUGACUCCUUGAGAGUCCUGAAGGAACGUUGAAGACGACGACGUUGAUAGGCCGGGUGUGUAAGCGCAGCG
Molecule: ribosomal RNA, 627 nt
Filed under: Escherichia coli
Lineage: Bacteria; Pseudomonadati; Pseudomonadota; Gammaproteobacteria; Enterobacterales; Enterobacteriaceae
Also listed under: 1 other name
Description: partial 23S ribosomal RNA
Rfam family: Bacterial large subunit ribosomal RNA
Source: RNAcentral